GAUGAACGCUGGCGGCGUGCUUAACACAUGCAAGUCGAACGAAGCGACUAUGAUUGAGAUUUCGGUUGAUUGAAUAGUUGACUUAGUGGCGGACGGGUGAGUAACGCGUGGGUAACCUGCCUCGUACAGGGGGAUAACAGUUAGAAAUAGGUGCUAAUACCGCAUAAGCGCACGGUUUCGCAUGAAACAGUGUAGAAAAACUCCGGUGGUAUAUGAUGGACCCGCGUCUGAUUAGCUGGUUGGUAAGGUAACGGCUUACCAAGGCGACGAUCAGUAGCCGGCCUGAGAGGGUGACCGGCCACAUUGGGACUGAGACACGGCCCAGACUCCUACGGGAGGCAGCAGUGGGGGAUAUUGCACAAUGGAGGAAACUCUGAUGCAGCAACGCCGCGUGAGGGAAGACGGUCUUCGGAUUGUAAACCUAAGUUAUCAGGGACGAUUAUGACGGUACCUGAAGAGAAAGCUCCGGCUAACUACGUG
This 480-nucleotide ribosomal RNA is filed under the name uncultured bacterium. RNAcentral's name for it is "bacterial SSU rRNA". It matches the Rfam family "Bacterial small subunit ribosomal RNA", at positions 28 to 507 of the family's 1533-position model. The record is from RNAcentral.